GAGUCGAUGUAAUUAAGUAUUAGUUUUUUGUUUGUAGAAAUAUUAGAUAAUAAAUUUUAUUUA
RNAcentral lists this transfer RNA (63 nucleotides) under Epiperipatus biolleyi. Its description in RNAcentral is "tRNA-Lys". Lineage: Eukaryota; Metazoa; Onychophora; Udeonychophora; Euonychophora; Peripatidae. The record is from RNAcentral.